RNAcentral lists this ribosomal RNA (852 nucleotides) under Rhypophila decipiens. RNAcentral's name for it is "LSU rRNA". It matches the Rfam family "Eukaryotic large subunit ribosomal RNA", at positions 37 to 914 of the family's 3401-position model. The record is from RNAcentral. Lineage: Eukaryota; Fungi; Ascomycota; Sordariomycetes; Sordariales; Naviculisporaceae.
AGCAUAUCAAUAAGCGGAGGAAAAGAAACCAACAGGGAUUGCCCCAGUAACGGCGAGUGAAGCGGCAACAGCUCAAAUUUGAAAUCUGGCCCCCCCCGGGGCCCGAGUUGUAAUUUGUAGAGGAAGCUUUGGGCGCGGCACCCACCGAGUCCCCUGGAACGGGGCGCCAUAGAGGGUGAGAGCCCCGUAGGGUGGGAUGCCCAGCCCCUGUAAAGCUCCUUCGACGAGUCGAGUAGUUUGGGAAUGCUGCUCAAAAUGGGAGGUAAAUUUCUUCUAAAGCUAAAUACUGGCCAGAGACCGAUAGCGCACAAGUAGAGUGAUCGAAAGAUGAAAAGCACUUUGAAAAGAGGGUUAAACAGCACGUGAAAUUGUUGAAAGGGAAGCGCUUGUGACCAGACUUGCGCCCGGCUGAUCAGUCCGGUGUUCUUCACCGGUGCACUCUGCCGGGCCCAGGCCAGCAUCGGUUCUCGCGGGGGGAGAAAGGCCCGGGGAACGUAGCUCCUCCGGGAGUGUUAUAGCCCCUGGCGGCAUGCCCUCGCGGGGACCGAGGUUCGCGCAUUCGCAAGGAUGCUGGCGUAAUGGUCAUCAGCGACCCGUCUUGAAACACGGACCAAGGAGUCAAGGUUUUGCGCGAGUGUUUGGGUGUCAAACCCGCACGCGUAAUGAAAGUGAACGUAGGUGAGAGCUUCGGCGCAUCAUCGACCGAUCCUGAUGUAUUCGGAUGGAUUUGAGUAGGAGCGUUAAGCCUUGGACCCGAAAGAUGGUGAACUAUGCUUGGAUAGGGUGAAGCCAGAGGAAACUCUGGUGGAGGCUCGCAGCGGUUCUGACGUGCAAAUCGAUCGUCAAAUCUGA